Molecule: long non-coding RNA, 895 nt
Organism: Glycine soja
Lineage: Eukaryota; Viridiplantae; Streptophyta; Magnoliopsida; Fabales; Fabaceae
Exons: 3
Source: RefSeq, a predicted model, not a curated record
AUUCUUAUUAUCCCCUAUCUCUGCAGUGACAUUAUAAUUCAAGGGCUGACCAUUCUUGCUCCAGUUGACUCUCCAAACACUGAUGGAAUAGAUCCAGCCAAAUUGCUAUUCCAGAGUUAUAAGUGUUAAUGGCGAUGAACAUAUUAUAAUAUUUGCGAAGAGGGACAUUAAACAGUGGGAAGAGCUUACAUAUGAUUACAGGUUUACCUCUUCUCCAAAUGCGGCAGAGGGAGCAAUUGCUGUUAUUAUUAUUAGAAGUGUUUGGAAAGCAUCCUUGAAUAUCUUGCUGAUCAGAAGGACCCUACUACUUUAUGCCAGAAAUUUAUUGAUGAGUUUGAUCGAUGCAUCCUCAGUUAUUUCGCAUUUAAUUGGAACCAAGCUUCUUAUAUGAUUAGUCAGGGUGUAAAAUGUGGUAUUUAUGGUGCCAAUUCUGCAGAAUGGAUUAUGAGCACGCAGGUACAUUUUAUUUUUGAAUUUGCUUCCCUUGUUUUCUGGUGAGUUUUUUCCAUCUUGAUUUUUCUGCUCACUCUAUAUGUUGGAGGUUUCUAUUGUAUUAUUUAGAUGUUGAUAUGUUGAUUUUUGUUUCUUUUUUGCGCUGAGUAUCUAUUGUUAUUUCUAUUUCUACUAUAUUGUUUCUUUGGUAGUUGGAUUUUUGUAGUCCUUAUUGAGCUUAAUGGAGAAUAAGGUAUUUCUAGAUUGAAGCUUUGUUUCUUAUAUUGAAUAUCUACUCUUUGCAGAGAGUUCCACUUAUUUACGAACAAAGUCCUUUUAAAAUAAUGCAAGUAAAGAACUUACACUGAAACUUGUCCGGUACCUAAAAUUGUGAUAUAUAACUUUUCUAACAAUGAUAUGUUUUUUGAAGUUUACUGCAUGCAGUAAAUUCAAAUGGUGCAUG